UACGGAGGGUGCAAGCGUUGUUCGGAUUUACUGGGCGUAAAGCGCGCGCAGGUGGGUGAACAAGUCGGAAGUGAAAUCUUGAGGCUCAACCUCGAGGCUGCUCCCGAAACUGUUCGCCUAGGGACUGGUAGAGGCUGGUAGAAUUCCCGGUGUAGCGGUGGAAUGCGUAGAGAUCGGGAAGAAUACCUGUGGCGAAGGCGGCCAGCUGGGCCGCAACUGACGCUGAGGCGCGAAAGCUAGGGGAGCAAACAGG
Molecule: ribosomal RNA, 253 nt
Filed under: uncultured bacterium
Lineage: Bacteria
Description: partial 16S ribosomal RNA
Rfam family: Bacterial small subunit ribosomal RNA
Source: RNAcentral